This is a non-coding RNA of Pelodiscus sinensis (Chinese soft-shelled turtle), 4355 nucleotides long. NCBI's taxonomy places the organism in Eukaryota, Metazoa, Chordata, Testudines, Trionychidae. The record is from RefSeq and is a predicted model, not a curated record.
CAGCCCUGCCCAGCUGCAGUAACGUGCAGGGGCGCCGCGGAGCACGCUGGGCCCGGCAGCCAGAGGGCAAAAGGCUCGGACGUUGGGCGCCGUGUUUGAGUGACAGGUUCGCUCGCGCCUGUGCGCGUUGCAGUUGCAGCGGUCCCAGGUGCUGGGUCCAGGGCGCAGCGGCAGAACCCGCGUUUUCCCUCCUGGGCCAGUGCGCGCCCCGCCCGAAGCUGGGGGGCGGGAGGAGAGAAAGAGAGAAUAGGGGAAGAUUGAGCAAACUCUGUGUCGGAUGAUCAAUCAGCCGCGAACUGCACCUACGCGAUCAGAAAGCUCCGCGAUAUCGCACCUUAGAAAAAGGUGGAUGGAGGAUUAGAGAAGGGGAAUGCUUCAAGAACAGGGAGCCAUUGCCCUAUAUUUCCCAAAUUGAGAGGUGUUUCAGCACCCUGCGCUUAUAAUCGGAUAUUUACUGCAGCAGUUCCCCGGGGAGUGACAAGUGUGUUGUGGUGCAAGUGGUAACCAACGCACGUCGUCAACUAUCCCUCCGUCUCUGUUCUACUGCGGAGAAAUAUAUCAGACUCUGAAGCAAAGAGGAUUGUGGCACACCCACAGGAACAGCCAUCUUGGAGAAUGUCAGUUAUUGCACAGCUAGCCCUUCAGCAACCAGGCCUUGAGGUGAAGAAGCGAAAUCUCGGGGUGGCAGAUUCGCCUCCCAUCUUGGGUAAGAAGACGAGGAUUGUGAGAGAGCUGAAGGGAAGGUACCAUAGUUAGUUGAUUCAGGUAACUCAGAGAGCUGUCCAAUUAAUCUGCCACCCUUUUGAAGAGGCUUUGGAACAAUUUAAAACAGUCUCCUAUAGUAAGUAGUAGGAGCAUGAUAGUCUCAUCCGGUGACCAUGACAACAGAAAUAGACUAACAGCUGAAAAGGACACAGUUAAUGUGACAUCACAGAUACGUGCUUGUGGCAGCUUUUGGCAACCUAUAAUAUUGGUAAAGAAAAAUAUUCAGUUCUCAUGUGUGGUGUUACUACAGAAAGGCACUUUUAAAAAGACACUUGGCACUAUGGUCCCAGUGAACAGGCCAAACGUGCAUGCUGGUACUGGAAAUUGCACCCCGUCAAAUGCGGGUAAUUUCAAUGUCAAUGUCAGAUGUGAAAAUAAGCAUUUUAUAAAUGCAAACAAGAAAAUUAGAGAGGCCACGGUUAACACUGAAACUUUCAGACGUAUCUUUCCAAUUUUAGAUUUAAGAAAAUUGAACAUGCACCCACUUUUUUCUCUGCACAAGGAAGUAUUUUGAAUAGAACCUUUGACCCUACAGAUAUUUGGAACCACUUUCACAGCUGCUACCUGAAGCAGCAUAUGUAGUUCUGUGCUUAGAAAAGCCUCCUGGGCAUGUUCCCUGAAAAGGAGUGGGGGGGACUGGAAGGGGACAGACUUAUAAACUGAAUGAGAGUGUCUAUUAAUAAUUUAUAGCACCUGUAAGUUGAAUGUAAUCAGCCUUCAAUUGCUGAUGAAUUGGACUAGCCUGUUCCCAAAUGAAAGGGGACUGGCUACUCAGAUUGGUCCAUGAUUCUCACAUGGAAUCUGAAAUCCUGUCUACACUUACCGGGAGAUCUAGUAAAGAUCUGUUCAAUAGAUCUUUGACUGCACUCAUCAUUUCUGGCACUCCACCGGAUUGCAAGGAGUAAGGCAAGUCAACAGGAGUGUUUCUCCCAUCAAACCCCCACAGCAGGGCUAACAUAGUAAGUUGAACUAGGGAACAGCAACUCCAGCUACGCUAUUUAUGUAGCUGGAGUUGCACAUCUUAGUUCAACUUGCCUCCUAGCACAGGCCUGGUCUGUAGCUUGGUAUUCAAUGAAAACAAAGAAAAGAGCAAAUGUUUCAUCAGUCUGGAUCUGAAAGACCUGUUUUUAUGCUGGUUUUGAAAUUAAGCUAGGGAUUGCUGUUACUGAUCUCUGAAAUUUGAAGGGGGGGGAGGGAAGACACUUGGGGUAAUAUUGUUCCAAUCUCAAAAAGGAAUAAAAUAUCCCUUGAAUCUGGAUUAAAGACCCAGAGAAUAAGCAAUGGAUCUAAUUACCUUUAGUUUCACCAAUUUGUCAGUCUUAUUCUGAAAAUAUCUGCUUUUCACAGGGGAUGACCUUCCACCUUAACUCUAGUGUUUGCAGCACAAAAAACACGAAACUAAGUAGGACUCAAGUGCUCUGGUGGAAGAGUCUGAAAUAUCCAAAGAUACUCAGGACAUUCUACCCUUUGUUCUGUCCUACAAAAAUAGUAUUAUGCCAGUGUUUUAUCAUCUGGCAAAUUUUGGACAAAAAGCCAAGCUUUCCCCAAGUGGAACUGGUAACUGGUCAUCACUACCUGGUAAUUAACUCUUAAGUGCACCCAUUUUUCUCCUCUUUAAAUAAGUGCUUAGCUCUGCCAGACCUGUUACUGGCAGCACACACAACUAUGGCACAAGAUGUGUAUGAAAGAAAGAAAAUCCUUCAGACCCAAUCUGAUAUUGUGUCCGCUAUCCUGGAAAUAGGCUGAUGGGAGGCAGGACUUAACCAGACACAGCAAGAGACUAUCCAAAGACAGUAAGCCUCAGUGUUCCCUGUAAGCUGUUCACUUGUGCGGCCAUUCCAGUAGAGGUUCAAAUGUUGACCAGUUGAUUAGCACAGGACCCACAACUAGGUAUUCUGUUUCUAGUUGGUGGUGCACUGUCGCACAUGUCAGAUUUCUUCCACAGCCACAACAGGUAGGUUCAAUGUGGAAUUUUUGAGCAUCCUCAGAAGAGGAGAAAGCAGAAGCUACACCUACAUGCUCAUGGUGACAAAUCAGGUUAAAAGUCAAUAUCUAUUUGUUCCUGCUCAGAGAGAUGCUAUCUCCUUAUCCUCAUUAGAAAAGGUAUCAGCUGCCAAUGGGCUCAAAAGAACUGGAUCCGAGGACUGUUAGCAGGAUGCUUAUUGAAUGAAAUACCAUCUUCUCUCCAUCAAUUAGGAAGGUGAUGCAAAAAUUCUUGUGGCUGAGCCAGACCCAUGAAGGCCAGAGCCGCCAGUCUCUCCAGUAGCUGAGAUCCUCCCCCCCACACACAAAGAACAAAAGGAUCAUGAGUCAUACCUCAGGAUGAAUCGGGUUUCUUAAUGCUUCCUCCUGUUCUCUUAAGUAGGAUCCAACCUUGGAUUCAUUAUGGACCUCAGCAGGGACAGCAAUGGAAUGACAGGGUGAAGAGAGAGAAAAAGGCAAUAAAGAUCUCUCUAGAGAUCCCAUAAGAGUCUUAGGAGGUGGUGGCAUAGAUGGAUCUGGAGAAAGGAGAAAAGCAGAGGAAAUUUAGUCUUUUUUUCAGGUGAAGAAACAGAUGGCAGAUCUGAAGACUUUCUUCUUCAUCAAGAACUUCCCAUAAAUCAGAUUCAAGCACCUCUCAGACAAAACAAGGUGCACCACUGUUAAUAUCCUCUUUGGAACAGAGGAUGGUCCCGGAACAGGGGUGGAGGGUGUAACUGGUACCAUAAGCCCAGAGAGUACCAAAGCAAAGAAUACUCAGCUCCACAACUCUGGACAUUGAAGUGGAACCCAUAACUCAUUUGGGUUGCAAAGUCAGAAGCACAGAGGUUGUGUCAGAAUUGGGUGGAUCCAAUAAGUUUGACGAGUAGGAAAUGGCACUGAUAACAUUGGCCACCUUCACGUUCAGCUUUUUCAGAAUCAGUACAGUUGGAAUCAAAAUAGCCCGAUUCCUUAGCAGGCAGUCAGCUGUUUUCUACCAAUGGUGCCUUCACAUCUUGAUCGCUUUAAUCAAAGGAUCAAGAGCCAGCAUCAACUUAGAACCCUUAACACAAAUUAGCCUUUCUAUAGGGAAGUUAAGAGCCAAAACACAGCUCUUGGUCUUUGGAUCCCAUGAACCUUCAGAACAAGACAAAAUAGUAGCAAGAGCUUCUUAAAGAAAUAGCUGUUGUGGUAAUCUGUUUUGCCAAUCCUUGCAUGCUUGGGAUGUGAAAAUCUUCUAAGCAGAACAUCCAAAAAGGAGAAUAGCCUUUUUCUCAGACACUUAAUGAGUUCAUCCAAUGCCAGGAAGACAGCUGAACAUGAAGCACAUCUUGUGAAACCCAGCUGCUGUUGCUGUUCCAUGAUAGAACGAACUUUAUGAACUCUCUUUACUUAAAACUAUCUUAGUACUAAAAACUAUACUAAGAACUUCUGUCCAGUGCAGCACUUGGAAGGAACUGAGGUGAUAGAGGGUGCUGGGCUCUCUUAUAUAGCUUCCCCCUAGAACAUUCAGAAAGUACUUGAAAUGCUGCUAUUGCACACCACACCACAUUUCUGUAACAGUUUAUGGCACAGUUAACCAAAAGAUCUCAUGAAUGUAUAUUGUUAAUCUUCUUCACUGUACUGACAUG